This 1485-nucleotide ribosomal RNA is filed under the name Bacillus sp. P90. Its description in RNAcentral is "bacterial SSU rRNA". It matches the Rfam family "Bacterial small subunit ribosomal RNA". The record is from RNAcentral. Lineage: Bacteria; Bacillati; Bacillota; Bacilli; Caryophanales; Bacillaceae.
UCAGGAUGAACGCUGGCGGCGUGCCUAAUACAUGCAAGUCGAGCGAACUUUUGGGAGCUUGCUCCCAAAAGUUAGCGGCGGACGGGUGAGUAACACGUGGGCAACCUGCCUAUAAGACUGGGAUAACUUCGGGAAACCGGAGCUAAUACCGGAUAACAUAUGAGACCACAUGGUCUCAUAUUAAAAGAUGGCUUUUAGCUAUCACUUAUAGAUGGGCCCGCGGCGCAUUAGCUAGUUGGUGAGGUAAUGGCUCACCAAGGCGACGAUGCGUAGCCGACCUGAGAGGGUGAUCGGCCACACUGGGACUGAGACACGGCCCAGACUCCUACGGGAGGCAGCAGUAGGGAAUCUUCCGCAAUGGACGAAAGUCUGACGGAGCAACGCCGCGUGAGCGAAGAAGGUCUUCGGAUCGUAAAGCUCUGUUGUUAGGGAAGAACAAGUACCGUUCAAAUAGGGCGGUACCUUGACGGUACCUAACCAGAAAGCCACGGCUAACUACGUGCCAGCAGCCGCGGUAAUACGUAGGUGGCAAGCGUUAUCCGGAAUUAUUGGGCGUAAAGCGCGCGCAGGCGGUCCUUUAAGUCUGAUGUGAAAGCCCACGGCUCAACCGUGGAGGGUCAUUGGAAACUGGGGGACUUGAGUGCAGAAGAGGAGAGCGGAAUUCCACGUGUAGCGGUGAAAUGCGUAGAGAUGUGGAGGAACACCAGUGGCGAAGGCGGCUCUCUGGUCUGUAACUGACGCUGAGGCGCGAAAGCGUGGGGAGCGAACAGGAUUAGAUACCCUGGUAGUCCACGCCGUAAACGAUGAGUGCUAAGUGUUAGAGGGUUUCCGCCCUUUAGUGCUGCAGCAAACGCAUUAAGCACUCCGCCUGGGGAGUACGGUCGCAAGACUGAAACUCAAAGGAAUUGACGGGGGCCCGCACAAGCGGUGGAGCAUGUGGUUUAAUUCGAAGCAACGCGAAGAACCUUACCAGGUCUUGACAUCCCGUGACAACNNNNAGAGAUAGAGCUUUCCCCUUCGGGGGACACGGUGACAGGUGGUGCAUGGUUGUCGUCAGCUCGUGUCGUGAGAUGUUGGGUUAAGUCCCGCAACGAGCGCAACCCUUGAUCUUAGUUGCCAGCAUUAAGUUGGGCACUCUAAGGUGACUGCCGGUGACAAACCGGAGGAAGGUGGGGAUGACGUCAAAUCAUCAUGCCCCUUAUGACCUGGGCUACACACGUGCUACAAUGGAUGGUACAAAGGGCAGCNAAACCGCGAGGUUAAGCCAAUCCCAUAAAACCAUUCUCAGUUCGGAUUGCAGGCUGCAACUCGCCUGCAUGAAGCCGGAAUCGCUAGUAAUCGCGGAUCAGCAUGCCGCGGUGAAUACGUUCCCGGGCCUUGUACACACCGCCCGUCACACCACGAGAGUUUGUAACACCCGAAGUCGGUGGGGUAACCGUAAGGAGCCAGCCGCCUAAGGUGGGACAGAUGAUUGGGGUGAAGUCG